UAUAAAAGUAUUUUAAUAAUAAAUUUAAUUGAUAUUUUUAUAUUUUUUAUAUAGUUUUAUAAGUUUAAUUAUUAAUUAAAUGAUAUUUUCAAAUUCCAAAUAAUUUAAUAUUUCUCUCUAUUCAAAUAAAAAUGAUUAAAAUUGGCAUAUGUGCAACGUACGUAAAAUUAUAUAAUAGCUUAUUAGUAAUUAAAUUAUUUUUUAAAAAUCUAUGUUGAAAAGAUUUGGAAUAAAUCUAUUAAAAUAAUUUAAAUAAAUUAAUAAGUAAAAGAGAAAUCAAAAUAGUAGAAGAAAUUAUUUAAAUAAAAUUAAUUAAUUAUAUACGCACACAUACUAUAUUUCUAAAAUCUUAUUUCAUAAAUUUAAAUUCUCUAUUUUUUUUAUACAUCGACAUUUUACGUGAUUUAGAUUGUAUAUAUCGGAUUAAAUUUUAUUACGCAAUUUAUUACAUAUAUUAUUAAUAAAAUUAGUUAGUUAUAUUAUAUAUACAAUUAAUUAAUUAAUUUUAGGGUUGAUUUCAUACAAAUCCCGUACAAACAUAGUUAAUUACAAAUAUAUCCUUACAAAGUUCAACUACAUAAGUUGUCUCUAUAAAAAUCUUAAUAUUUUCAAAUAUGUUCAUGCCGUUAGAAUCCGUUAGAAAAUUUUAAUUAAUCAUAAGUUAAAUGCUUAAUUGUUUAAUUUAUCAGAUAACUUGAUAUUUUGCCCCUAUUAUAUUGUACUGUUGUGGUUUUUGGAGAGAUAUAUUUGUGAGGGCAAAAUUGAUAUCUCGCUUAAAAUAUAAAUAGUUUUGUAACGGUAAUAAAUCAAAAGAACAUAUAUAAAAAUAUUUAAACUUUUGUAGGAAUAUAUUUAUAAUUUAUUAUGUUUGCAGGAACGUGAAUGCAUUUAACUCUUAAUUUUAUAGGGUUCAGAAGUUUAGGGAUUUAAAAUUUAAAAAUAAAUAUUAUAAAAUUUUAAAUUUUAGAAUUUAGAAUUUAAAAUUUUAAAACAUAUAUAUGUAUUAUAUUAUAUAUAGAGAGGGAGAGAGAGAAGUGGAGGUUUUGGAAAAACACGUGUCACUCUUUUAAGUAGUAGAAAGAAUAAAUUAUAUAUAUAUAGAGGGAGAGAGAGAAGUGAAUGUUUUGGAAGAACAUGUCACUCUAAGAUUCCCAAACCUUUUACUUAAUAUAGUAAAAUGAAAAGAUAGAUUUGACAAAUUCCACAUCGAGCGAUGGGGAGGACCCAAGGGUUGAGAAACACAAAAGUGUAGAAAGAUUUAAGAAGUUGACCGCGGAACAGAAGAGUUGAAGGAGAUGUAGGAAAGGGCCUUUGAUGGAUUUAACACAUAGUGCUCGUGACCGAUUGUUCCUAGAGCAAAUGGCAAAGAGCUUGAUGGUUGGUAUCCGAAACCUAAGUUCGCAUCCUAAUAGAUUCACAUUUUAAGCUAAGUGUAUUUCUAAAUAAAAUAAACGAAACGGGUAGCGUAUUACUUAUCUCUCUCAAAAAAAGAAGAAGAAGAAGAAGACAUAUAGUGCUGGUGCACCUUAGUUUGUAUUCUAACUCAUUCAGAAUAAAAUAAUAAAUAAACAUAAAAGAUAAUAAAAUUGUGAAUAAAAAUAAAAAUUAACGCAUCAUGAGUCUUGAAAUUUUAGUGUCGACAACCACCACCUUUCUCACGUGAAAUUUUAGCAAACUCCAUAUUUAUGCAUUUUAUACCCAUAUUUAUGCAUUUUAUAUGGAUACAAAGGGAAACGAGAUGGAAGGAAUGAAUAUCAUUUUUGACGGAAUUUACGACAGGUUUGCAUCCGUAUUUUAACGCUACACGCCUACCACCCCCUCUCUCGGCCGACAAACAUGGGCAGCGAUGUCUGACAUCUGGAAUCUGUUACAACGGGCUGAUAGUCAGUCUGCUUUGAUUGGGCCUCCAUGUAGCCCUGUUAAGAAAGACUCCGUCGCAGCUCUAUUUGUCGGGCCUGAGAUUCUUUACUUGUUGGACAGCGCUAACGCAGCCCACUCGGCACUCAGCACUAGGGGUGGAAACGAGCCGAGCUCGAGCGAGCUUAUGUCUGCUCAAAUUCAGCUUGAAAUUAAUUUCGAGCCUAAAUCUAGGCUCAAGCUCGGCUUGAAAUUAAUUCGAGCCGAGCUCGAGCGAGCCUAAUUUCGAGUCGAGCUGAGCUCGAGCUCUAAACGAGCCGAUUGAAAUUCUCGACAUUAUAUAAUCAAUAUUUUAAUUUUUAUAGAACAUUACCUACAAUUUGAUGCAACAUGUCCAAUAGUUCAAAAUACAAAAUAAUUAUAAGAAAUGUGAGCUAGGGUGACUUCCUGACUCGAUAAGGGUCUGAGAGAGAGAGAGAGAGAGAGAGAGGAAAAAAAGUAGGGAUUUGAAAAUUUGAAUGUUAUUAUGUUUUAGGGUUAUGUGCAACAGUGAAAGUCUGAAAGAGAGAGUGUGUUAUGUAAAUUUAGAGUUGGGCUCAAUUGCACGUUUGUACUUGUUGGGUUUAUUUUAUGGGCCAACAAUAAUGGCCCAAAUUAAAUUAAAGCCUAUAUAUAAUU
This 2535-nucleotide long non-coding RNA is filed under the name Ananas comosus (pineapple). Its description in RNAcentral is "long non-coding RNA (ACOM_LNC025066)". The record is from RNAcentral. Lineage: Eukaryota; Viridiplantae; Streptophyta; Magnoliopsida; Poales; Bromeliaceae.